This 451-nucleotide ribosomal RNA is filed under the name Marinobacter similis. RNAcentral's name for it is "bacterial SSU rRNA". The stretch from base 1 to 342 matches the Rfam family "Bacterial small subunit ribosomal RNA", at positions 1190 to 1533 of the family's 1533-position model. Lineage: Bacteria; Pseudomonadati; Pseudomonadota; Gammaproteobacteria; Pseudomonadales; Marinobacteraceae. The record is from RNAcentral.
CAUAUAUGGUCUUACGGCAGGGCUACACACGUGCUACAAUGGUGCGCACAGAGGGCUGCAAACCCGCGAGGGGGAGCUAAUCUCACAAAACGCAUCGUAGUCCGGAUCGGAGUCUGCAACUCGACUCCGUGAAGUCGGAAUCGCUAGUAAUCGUGAAUCAGAAUGUCACGGUGAAUACGUUCCCGGGCCUUGUACACACCGCCCGUCACACCAUGGGAGUGGAUUGCACCAGAAGUGGUUAGUCUAACCUUCGGGAGGACGAUCACCACGGUGUGGUUCAUGACUGGGGUGAAGUCGUAACAAGGUAGCCGUAGGGGAACCUGCGGUAUCCUAACCUCCUGAUCCGCACUGUCUGAUACUCCCCGGCGGCAUCGAAAUCCUCGAGAUGAACCGUACCGGAAUGAUUCACUUCAGACUCCUGUCACUGGCGGUUGCCCUCAGAAUAAUACUU